AUUGACGGGGACCCGCACAAGCGGCGGAGCAUGCGGAUUAAUUCGAUGCAACGCGAAGAACCUUACCAAGGCUUGACAUACACCAGAACACCGUAGAAAUACGGGACUCUUUGGACACUGGUGAACAGGUGGUGCAUGGUUGUCGUCAGCUCGUGUCGUGAGAUGUUGGGUUAAGUCCCGCAACGAGCGCAACCCUCGUUCUAUGUUGCCAGCACGUAAUGGUGGGAACUCAUGGGAUACUGCCGGGGUCAACUCGGAGGAAGGUGGGGAUGACGUCAAAUCAUCAUGCCCCUUAUGUCUUGGGCUUCACGCAUGCUACAAUGGCCGGUACAAAGGGCUGCAAUACCGUGAGGUGGAGCGAAUCCCAAAAAGCCGGUCCCAGUUCGGAUUGAGGUCUGCAACUCGACCUCAUGAAGUCGGAGUCGCUAGUAAUCGCAGAUCAGCAACGCUGCGGUGAAUACGUUCCCGGGUCUUGUACACACCGCCCGUCAAGUCAUGAAAGUCGGUAACACCUGAAGCCGGUGGCCCAACCCUUGUGGAGGGAGCCGUCGAAGGUGGGAUCGGUAAUUAGGACUAAGUCGUAACAAGGUAGCCGUACCGGAAGGUGCGGCUGGAUCACCUCCUUAAUC
Molecule: ribosomal RNA, 629 nt
Filed under: uncultured bacterium
Lineage: Bacteria
Description: bacterial SSU rRNA
Rfam family: Bacterial small subunit ribosomal RNA
Source: RNAcentral